This 253-nucleotide ribosomal RNA is filed under the name uncultured bacterium. RNAcentral describes it as "partial 16S ribosomal RNA". It matches the Rfam family "Bacterial small subunit ribosomal RNA", at positions 524 to 776 of the family's 1533-position model. The record is from RNAcentral.
GACGAACCGUGCGAACGUUGUUCGGAAUCACUGGGCUUAAAGGGCGCGUAGGCGGGCAUUCAAGUCAGGGGUGAAAUCCUCCAGCUUAACUGGAGAACUGCCUUUGAUACUGGGUGCCUCGAGUGAGGUAGGGGCGUGCGGAACUGAUGGUGGAGCGGUGAAAUGUGUUGAUAUCAUCAGGAACUCCGGUGGCGAAAGCGGCGCGCUGGACCUUAACUGACGCUGAGGCGCGAAAGCGUGGAGAGCAAACAGG